AUACGUAGGGUGCGAGCGUUAAUCGGAAUUACUGGGCGUAAAGGGUGCGCAGGCGGUUGUACAAGACGGAUGUGAAAUCCCCGGGCUUAACCUGGGAAUGGCAUUCGUGACUGUACGGCUAGAGUGUGUCAGAGGGGGUAGAAUUCCACGUGUAGCAGUGAAAUGCGUAGAUAUGUGGAGGAAUACCGAUGGCGAAGGCAGCCCCCUGGGAUAACACUGACGCUCAUGCACGAAAGCGUGGGGAGC
This 246-nucleotide ribosomal RNA is filed under the name uncultured bacterium. Its description in RNAcentral is "partial 16S ribosomal RNA". It matches the Rfam family "Bacterial small subunit ribosomal RNA", at positions 523 to 769 of the family's 1533-position model. The record is from RNAcentral.